Non-coding RNA from Callorhinus ursinus (northern fur seal), 1319 nucleotides. NCBI's taxonomy places the organism in Eukaryota, Metazoa, Chordata, Mammalia, Carnivora, Otariidae. The record is from RefSeq and is a predicted model, not a curated record.
CUUGUAGAAAUGAAAAGAAUUAUGGGAGAAUACCAUGAGAAGUUGUAUGCCAAAAAAUUAGAUAAUCUAGAUUAAAUGGAUUGAUUCCUAGAAUCUAUCUACACACUGCCAAAACUGUCCCCCCUCCCAAAAUAGAAAAUCUGAACAGACCUAUAACAAGAGAUUGAAUCAAUUAUUAAAAAGUUCAGGAUGAGGGGACUUUCAAGCGUCUGACCCCGGGAAUUCGAGCAGGCAUGAGCCUCUGGGUGGACAAAUACCGGCCCUGCUCCUUGGGACGGCUGGACUAUCACAAGGAGCAAGUGGCCCAGCUGCGCAACCUGACUCCAUCUAAAAAGAAAAUUGAAAUUAGCACUAUUGCAAGCAAUUAUCACCUUGAAGUUAAUCCCAGUGAUGCUGGAAAUAGUGACGGGGUAGUAAUUCAGGAGAUGUUGAAAACAGUGGCACAAUCACAGCAACUUGAAACAAACACUCAAAGAGAUUUUAAAGUGGUAUUAUUGACAAACUCACCAAAGAUGCUCAACAUGCCUUGCGUAGAACCAUGGAAAAGUAUAUGUCCACUUGCAGACUGAUCUUGUGUUGCAAUUCUACAUCUAAAGUGAUACCACCUAUUCGUAGUAGGUGCCUGGCAGUUCGUGUGCCUGCUCCCAGGAUUGAAGAUAUUUGUCAUGUGUUAUCUACUGUGUGCAAGAAGGAAGGUCUGAAUCUUCCUUCACAACUGGCUCAUCGACUUGCAGAGAAGUCGUGCAGGAAUCUCCGAAAAGCCCUACUUAUGUGUGAAGCCUGCAGAGUGCAACAAUAUCCUUUUACUGCAGAUCAAGAAAUCCCUGAAACAGAUUGGGAGGUGUAUCUCAGGGAGACGGCCAACGCUAUUGUCAGUCAGCAGACUCCACAAAGGCUCCUUGAAGUUCGUGGAAGACUUUAUGAGCUUCUAACUCAUUGUAUUCCUCCUGAAAUAAUAAUGAAGGGCCUUCUCUCAGAACUUUUACAUACUUGUGAUGGACAACUGAAAGGGGAAGUGGCCCAGAUGGCCGCUUACUAUGAACAUCGUCUACAGCUCGGUAGCAAAGCCAUUUAUCACUUGGAAGCAUUUGUGGCCAAAUUUGUGGCACUUUAUAAGAAGUUCAUGGAGGAUGGAUUGGAAGGCAUGAUGUUUUGACAUCUUGAGGUCUAUCCUUAAUUCUUCCUAAUAUUUCUCAGUAUCAGCAUUUACAUUCAGUUUAUAUUGGAAGAGCUGCAGGUAAAAUAAACUAACUUUACUUAAAAAAAAAAGUUCAGGAUGAGAUGGCUUUAUUGGUGAAUGCUACUAAAUAUUUAAAGAA